RNAcentral lists this ribosomal RNA (496 nucleotides) under uncultured bacterium. RNAcentral describes it as "partial 16S ribosomal RNA". It matches the Rfam family "Bacterial small subunit ribosomal RNA", at positions 28 to 506 of the family's 1533-position model. The record is from RNAcentral.
GAUGAACGCUGGCGGCGUGCCUAAUACAUGCAAGUCGAGCGAACAGAUGAGGAGCUUGCUCCUCUGACGUUAGCGGCGGACGGGUGAGUAACACGUGGAUAACCUACCUAUAAGACUGGGAUAACUUCGGGAAACCGGAGCUAAUACCGGAUAAUAUAUUGAACCGCAUGGCUCAAUAGUGAAAGACGGUUUUGCUGUCACUUAUAGAUGGAUCCGCGCCGCAUUAGCUAGUUGGUAAGGUAACGGCUUACCAAGGCAACGAUGCGUAGCCGACCUGAGAGGGGGAUCGGCCAAACUGGAACUGGGACACGGUCCAGACUCCUACGGGAGGCAGAAGUAGGAAAUCUUCCGCAAUGGGCGAAAGCCUGACGGAGCAACGCGGCGGGAGUGGUGAAGGUCUUCGGAUCGUAAAACUCUGUUAUUGGGGAAGAACAAAGGUGUAAGUAACUAUGCACGUCUGGACGGUACCUAAUCAGAAAGCCACGGCUAACUACGU